This 596-nucleotide ribosomal RNA is filed under the name Bacillus tequilensis. RNAcentral describes it as "bacterial SSU rRNA". It matches the Rfam family "Bacterial small subunit ribosomal RNA", at positions 79 to 659 of the family's 1533-position model. Lineage: Bacteria; Bacillati; Bacillota; Bacilli; Caryophanales; Bacillaceae. The record is from RNAcentral.
CUUGCUCCCUGAUGUUAGCGGCGGACGGGUGAGUAACACGUGGGUAACCUGCCUGUAAGACUGGGAUAACUCCGGGAAACCGGGGCUAAUACCGGAUGGUUGUUUGAACCGCAUGGUUCAAACAUAAAAGGUGGCUUCGGCUACCACUUACAGAUGGACCCGCGGCGCAUUAGCUAGUUGGUGAGGUAACGGCUCACCAAGGCAACGAUGCGUAGCCGACCUGAGAGGGUGAUCGGCCACACUGGGACUGAGACACGGCCCAGACUCCUACGGGAGGCAGCAGUAGGGAAUCUUCCGCAAUGGACGAAAGUCUGACGGAGCAACGCCGCGUGAGUGAUGAAGGUUUUCGGAUCGUAAAGCUCUGUUGUUAGGGAAGAACAAGUACCGUUCGAAUAGGGCGGUACCUUGACGGUACCUAACCAGAAAGCCACGGCUAACUACGUGCCAGCAGCCGCGGUAAUACGUAGGUGGCAAGCGUUGUCCGGAAUUAUUGGGCGUAAAGGGCUCGCAGGCGGUUUCUUAAGUCUGAUGUGAAAGCCCCCGGCUCAACCGGGGAGGGUCAUUGGAAACUGGGGAACUUGAGUGCAGAAGAGGAG